Molecule: long non-coding RNA, 305 nt
Organism: Mauremys reevesii (Reeves's turtle)
Lineage: Eukaryota; Metazoa; Chordata; Testudines; Geoemydidae
Exons: 2
Source: RefSeq, a predicted model, not a curated record
GGUUGGUCCUUCUGAAUGCCUUUAACUGCCAGUGAGGCUGCAACAGCAUGAAGACUCAGACCCAAGAAGCUUAAAUAGUUAAAGGGAUCAGAACUUCUUUAACUUGGAAUGUGAAUGGGGUUGUGGGCGGAUGAUUCAGGCAAUGAAAGGUUGGAAAAGAAGCAAUGCACAAGAGAGAGACCUUGCCAAAGGAUGGCGUUUCCAUUUGUGAACCCUGCAGCAAGAUGGGUGCUGUUGCUGCUGUCAAACAUCGAGAGAACUGAUUUAAAAAUAAAAAAGCCCAUUGCUAUGGCUGCUACUCCGUA